UUGAGCAAGUUUCCAAUUCAAAAGCAAAACCUGUUGGAAUUGAUCAAACAUUUUCAAUCCAAAGUGUAUCACGCGGGAAUCAACUGUCCGUAGGAUUCUUUGAUAGAAAGAGAAAUCACAAAAAAGGGUAUGUUGCUGCCAUUUUGAAAGGAUUAAGAAGCACCGAAGUAAUGUCUAAACCCAAUGAUUUAAAACAAAGAUAAAGGAUCCCAGAACAAGGAAACACCCUUUUAAUUGU
This 238-nucleotide long non-coding RNA is filed under the name Olea europaea (common olive). RNAcentral describes it as "long non-coding RNA (OEUR_LNC009506)". The record is from RNAcentral. Lineage: Eukaryota; Viridiplantae; Streptophyta; Magnoliopsida; Lamiales; Oleaceae.